Eptesicus fuscus (big brown bat) is the source of this 544-nucleotide long non-coding RNA. RefSeq lists it as uncharacterized. Lineage: Eukaryota; Metazoa; Chordata; Mammalia; Chiroptera; Vespertilionidae. The transcript is spliced from 4 exons. The record is from RefSeq and is a predicted model, not a curated record.
CUUCCCACAACUCCCCUCCGCACGCAGCCUUCCCACAACUCCCCGGGCCUUCCCACAACUCCCCUCCACACCCGGCCUUCCCACCACUCCCCUCAGCAGCCCGUUGCUCCCUCAGCACAGUCCCGAAGCAGGUGUGACUCAGGUGAGGAGGCAACCAGGUUAUGAGGGUGUCUCCAACUCAUCCUCAGGCAGCACUUAGAAAGCACACACUCCAGGCUCCUCCCCGGCCCAGGACUGGGUCCUAGGCCCUAAGCAGGUCCUCCAGGAACCGCUCCACUUUGACAGGCACUCAGAUCACACGCAUCACCACUGUCACCUGCUCACCUGUCUCCACAGCAGCCCGUCAGCUCCAAGAAGCCAGGGCUGUGUGCACUGCCCGCAAAGCGUCUGGCACACAAUUAAGCGUGUGGGGAGGGGCCACGGCAGGGCACGCACAUCAGCCAAGCUGAUCCAGAACCUCGCCACCACAACAUCCCCCAGGGAACUCGGAACCUGCAGGCCGAGGGCCCCUUCGGCACAGACAGCUCUCUGGUGACAAUAGCAA